UCGGAUGGAAUUGAAAUUGACUUAGCGGCGGACGGGUGAGUAACGCGUGGGUAACCUGCCUUACACUGGGGGAUAACAGUUAGAAAUGACUGCUAAUACCGCAUAAGCGCACAGGGCCGCAUGGUCUGGUGUGAAAAACUCCGGUGGUGUAAGAUGGACCCGCGUCUGAUUAGGUAGUUGGUGGGGUAACGGCCCACCAAGCCGACGAUCAGUAGCCGACCUGAGAGGGUGACCGGCCACAUUGGGACUGAGACACGGCCCAAACUCCUACGGGAGGCAGCAGUGGGGAAUAUUGGACAAUGGGCGAAAGCCUGAUCCAGCGACGCCGCGUGAGUGAAGAAGUAUUUCGGUAUGUAAAGCUCUAUCAGCAGGGAAGAAAAUGACGGUACCUGACUAAGAAGCCCCGGCUAACUACGUGCCAGCAGCCGCGGUAAUACGUAGGGGGCAAGCGUUAUCCGGAUUUACUGGGUGUAAAGGGAGCGUAGACGGUUAAGCAAGUCUGAAGUGAAAGCCCGGGGCUCAACCCCGGUACUGCUUUGGAAACUGUUUGACUUGAGUGCAGGAGAGGUAAGUGGAAUUCCUAGUGUAGCGGUGAAAUGCGUAGAUAUUAGGAGGAACACCAGUGGCGAAGGCGGCUUACUGGACUGUAACUGACGUUGAGGCUCGAAAGCGUGGGGAGCAAACAGGAUUAGAUACCCUGGUAGUC
RNAcentral lists this ribosomal RNA (706 nucleotides) under uncultured bacterium. RNAcentral's name for it is "bacterial SSU rRNA". It matches the Rfam family "Bacterial small subunit ribosomal RNA", at positions 74 to 795 of the family's 1533-position model. The record is from RNAcentral.